CAGCAGCCGCGGUAAUACGUAGGUGGCAAGCGUUGUCCGGAAUUAUUGGGCGUAAAGGGCCCGCAGGCGGUUUCUUAAGUCUGAUGUGAAAGCCCCCGGCUCAACCGGGGAGGGUCAUUGGAAACUGGGAAACUUGAGUGCAGAAGAGGAGAGUGGAAUUCCACGUGUAGCGGUGAGAUGCGUAGAGAUGUGGAGGAACACCAGUGGCGAAGGCGACUCUCUGGUCUGUAACUGACGCUGAGGAGCGAAAGCGUGGGGAGCGAACAGGAUUAGAUACCCGCGUAGUCCCUGUCUCUUAUAC
RNAcentral lists this ribosomal RNA (301 nucleotides) under uncultured bacterium. Its description in RNAcentral is "partial 16S ribosomal RNA". It matches the Rfam family "Bacterial small subunit ribosomal RNA", at positions 509 to 807 of the family's 1533-position model. The record is from RNAcentral.